GACGAACGCUGGCGGCGUGCCUAAUACAUGCAAGUUGAGCGCUGAAGGAUGGUACUUGUACCAACUGGAUGAGCAGCGAACGGGUGAGUAACGCGUGGGGAAUCUGCCUUUGAGCGGGGGACAACAUUUGGAAACGAAUGCUAAUACCGCAUAAAAACUUUAAACACAAGUUUUAAGUUUGAAAGAUGCAAUUGCAUCACUCAAAGAUGAUCCCGCGUUGUAUUAGCUAGUUGGUGAGGUAAAGGCUCACCAAGGCGAUGAUACAUAGCCGACCUGAGAGGGUGAGCGGCCACAUUGGGACUGAGACACGGCCCAAACUCCUACGGGAGGCAGCAGUAGGGAAUCUUCGGCAAUGGACGAAAGUCUGACCGAGCAACGCCGCGUGAGUGAAGAAGGUUUUCGGAUCGUAAAACUCUGUUGGUAGAGAAGAACGUUGGUGAGAGUGGAAAGCUCAUCAAGUGACGGUAACUACCCAGAAAGGGACGGCUAACUACGUG
Molecule: ribosomal RNA, 497 nt
Filed under: uncultured bacterium
Lineage: Bacteria
Description: partial 16S ribosomal RNA
Rfam family: Bacterial small subunit ribosomal RNA
Source: RNAcentral